CACCAGAGUAGCAAUUGGAGGGCAAGUCUGGUGCCAGCAGCCGCGGUAAUUCCAGCUCCAAUAGCGUAUAUUACCAGAGUAGCAAUUGGAGGGCAAGUCUGGUGCCAGCAGCCGCGGUAAUUCCAGCUCCAAUAGCGUAUAUUAAACUUGUUGCAGUUAAAAAGCUCGUAGUUGAAUUUUAGCGUGUUCGAGUUUGCCAUUCGUUUGGCUUUUUCGAGUUCGCUUUUGGGUUUUCCCUUUUUACUUUGAGAAAAUUAGAGUGUUUCAAGCAGACUUUUGUCUUGAAUACUUCAGCAUGGAAUAAUAGAGUAGGACUUUGGUUCUAUUUUGUUGGUUAUUGAACCUUAGUAAUGGUUAAUAGGAACGGUUGGGGGCAUUCGUAUUUAACUGUCAGAGGUGAAAUUCUUAGAUUUGUUAAAGACGAACUACUGCGAAAGCAUUUGCCAAGGACGUUUCCAUUAAUCAAGAACGAAAGUUAGGGGAUCGAARACGAUCAGAUACCGUCGUAGUCCUAACC
This 517-nucleotide ribosomal RNA is filed under the name Babesia vogeli. RNAcentral describes it as "SSU rRNA". Lineage: Eukaryota; Apicomplexa; Aconoidasida; Piroplasmida; Babesiidae. The record is from RNAcentral.